This 543-nucleotide ribosomal RNA is filed under the name uncultured eukaryote. RNAcentral describes it as "bacterial SSU rRNA". It matches the Rfam family "Eukaryotic small subunit ribosomal RNA", at positions 28 to 549 of the family's 1831-position model. The record is from RNAcentral.
UGCAACACGCUCUUCUCAAGGAUUAACCCAUGCACGUGCCAAGUUCACACCUUGUUAAAGUGAGACUGCGGACGGCUCAUUAAAUCGGUUAUAAUCUGUUCAAAAGUGUCAACCCAUUGAAUAACCGUGGGAAAUCUAGAGCUAAUACAUGUAACGAAACGGUCUAUGGCAGCGAUGCUGUAGGUCGGUGCAUUUAUUGAACAAAACCAAAUGCUAGUGGGUCCUCGUGGCUCAUUAACAGGGUGAAUCUAAAUAACUGAGCAAAUUGCAUAGCCUUGCGCUGGCAAUGUUUCAAUUGAAUUUCCGCCCUAUCAACUGUUGAUGGUAAGGUAAAGGCUUACCAUGGUUGCAACGGGUAACGGGAAAUCAGGGUUCGAUUCCGGAGAGGGAGCCUGAAAAACGGCUACCACAUCCAAGGGAGGCAGCAGGCGCGCAAAUUACCCAAUCCAAACAAUGGGAGGUGGCAACAAGAAGUACUGGGCGCUCGGCUAUGCCGUGUGUCCCGAAAUGAGCACAAAGUAAAAAGUUGGUCGAGUAACUACU